CGUUAAGAAGCUAUGAACCAGCACUAGCCUUUUAAGCUAGAGAAAGGAGAUGCUCUCUCCCUUAAUGA
RNAcentral lists this transfer RNA (68 nucleotides) under Tetraogallus himalayensis (Himalayan snowcock). RNAcentral's name for it is "tRNA-Lys". The record is from RNAcentral. Lineage: Eukaryota; Metazoa; Chordata; Aves; Galliformes; Phasianidae.